GAAGAAAGCUGGGGCGGCAGGCUAACACAUGCAAGUCGAGCGCUCACUUCGGUGGGAGCGGCGGACGGGUUAGUAACGCGUGGGAACGUGCCCAGAUCUAAGGAAUAGCCACUGGAAACGGUGAGUAAUACCUUAUACGCCCUUCGGGGGAAAGAUUUAUCGGAUUUGGAUCGGCCCGCGUUAGAUUAGAUAGUUGGUGGGGUAAUGGCCUACCAAGUCUACGAUCUAUAGCUGGUUUUAGAGGAUGAUCAGCAACACUGGGACUGAGACACGGCCCAGACUCCUACGGGAGGCAGCAGUGGGGAAUCUUGGACAAUGGGGGCAACCCUGAUCCAGCCAUGCCGCGUGAGUGAUGAAGGCCUUAGGGUCGUAAAGCUCUUUCGCCAGGGAUGAUAAUGACAGUACCUGGUAAAGAAACCCCGGCUAACUCCGUGCCAGCAGCCGCGGUAAUACGGAGGGGGUUAGCGUUGUUCGGAAUUACUGGGCGUAAAGCGCGCGUAGGCGGAUUGGAAAGUUGGGGGUGAAAUCCCGGGGCUCAACCCCGGAACUGCCUCCAAAACUAUCAGUCUAGAGUUCGAGAGAGGUGAGUGGAAUUCCGAGUGUAGAGGUGAAAUUCGUAGAUAUUCGGAGGAACACCAGUGGCGAAGGCGGCUCACUGGCUCGAUACUGACGCUGAGGUGCGAAAGUGUGGGGAGCAAACAGGAUUAGAUACCCUGGUAGUCCACACCGUAAACGAUGAAUGCCAGUCGUCGGCAAGCAUGCUUGUCGGUGACACACCUAACGGAUUAAGCAUUCCGCCUGGGGAGUACGGUCGCAAGAUUAAAACUCAAAUGAAUUGACGGAAGGGC
Molecule: ribosomal RNA, 848 nt
Filed under: uncultured bacterium
Lineage: Bacteria
Description: bacterial SSU rRNA
Rfam family: Bacterial small subunit ribosomal RNA
Source: RNAcentral